Scylla paramamosain (green mud crab) is the source of this 1449-nucleotide long non-coding RNA. RefSeq lists it as uncharacterized. The record is from RefSeq and is a predicted model, not a curated record. Lineage: Eukaryota; Metazoa; Arthropoda; Malacostraca; Decapoda; Portunidae. The transcript is spliced from 3 exons.
UGUAAUUUCUUGUGUUAUAAAGAAACAUGCGAUCCUCGCCACUAAAAUGAAGAACACUCCAGCCUUGUGCACUGUGGCAACAACAUGAAUGCGCAAAUAUUCACCAAUACGUGACCCUUCUCGUCACCCUAUAUUUAUACAGAAUGUGCUCUACUUCAUCUGCAGUAAUAAGGACAUCGUGGUUUAUAGAGUAUUGCUACGGUCUUGAUGUCUGAUAAAUCAACUGUAUGCGGUUUCAAAACCUGCCGCCUCGUCCCACAGGUCGUGACCGGCAUCCAGUGUUUCUAAGCUGCUGCCUCUUUUUGUGUAUUUAUCUCUUGUCUGUCUUAUGUUCCUUGUAGUGUUUUAAUGUUGAUUCUUAUAGAUCACAUGGUACCUAGUGUAUUAUUACUUCUCUCCAUUGGUUAAGAAUGCGGUCAGUUCAUUCAAACGUUUUUUUGUUUUUCUUAGGGUAAGUGAGGCAGUGCAGCGGAGUCUGACGGGUCAGUGUUGGUGUGGCAGUAGUGGUGUGAGGGUGCGUCGCUGUGAGCUCUGCCUGGCUGUGACUGGGCCGCUCCAGCCGGGGGUUGCCAGGAUGGGUGGACGGACGGUCAUUGCCAGCGUGCCGGCGGCCAUGCUUGGUGUGCUCAUGAUGGGUGUGCUCUCCCCUAACGCCACGGCCUCCAUCUUCCCCGCCGUUAACACCGCAGCAUCCAGCUAAGGUGCAGUAAAGGUCACGCCAGGACACAGCCACGAGGACUGUCAGGUCAGGGAGAGAUACAGCAUUCCAUUCCUCUCCAUUCUUGACAGCAGUGGAAAGGUCACCAAUAUUGUGUCAGAGUUUGAGGUCAGGGAGAGGAAAUUGAGCCUGUGUUUAGAAAUGCUUUGCUCUCACCAAGAUUAUUUGCAAAGGCCACAGAGAUACCUAGCUGGGUUCUCAAGAUUAAUAAUGUAGAAAUGUUGUUAAUCUAUCACUAGAACCAUUAAAACAUUCUUGAAAACCCAUAUUAUUUCAUGAUGAGUAUUUUUUCAAGGCUACAGAGAUACCUAACUGGGUUCUCAAGAUUAAUAAUGUAGAAAUGUUGUUAAUCUAUCACUAGAACCAUUAAAACAUUCUUGAAAACCCAUAUUAUUUCAUGAUGAGUAUUUUUUCAAGGCCACAGAGAUACUUAGCCAGGUUCUCAAGAGUGUUUCUCCUGUUAAUAAUAUAGAAAUGUUGUUAUUGUGUCACUAGAACCUUACAAACAUUCUUAAAAACCUGUGUAGCUUCAUCUAGAGCCCUUUUGAAAUAGUGGAGGUCUGGCGCCGAGAUGUUUCAGAGCGUAGGCCUUAGAUGCAUGAAAGGUGUAUAAUAUUCAUUGUGGUUCUUGAGCUGUGAUAGUAUUUGUCAAGUCUUGCUAAUGAUGAACUGUAGCAGUACUGUUGUCUGCACUGUUUACCACCACAAAGACUGACCUAAGUCUUGCUAAU